CAAACUGAACGGCGACAAUCAGCGAAAAGUUUUGAGAAGUCAGCAGAAGACAUAGUAUCUCUGGUUUUUUUUUUCAGAGAGAAGGUC
RNAcentral lists this non-coding RNA (87 nucleotides) under Saccharicrinis carchari. Lineage: Bacteria; Pseudomonadati; Bacteroidota; Bacteroidia; Marinilabiliales; Marinilabiliaceae. The record is from RNAcentral.